UGGGGAAUAUUGUACACUGGGCGAAAGCCUGAUCCAGCCAUUCCGCGUGUGUGAAUAAGGUCUUCGGGUUGUACAGCCCUUUAAGUUGGGAGGAAGCUCAGUAAGCGAAUACCUUGCUGUUUUUACGUUACCGACAUAAUAAGCACCGGCUAACUCUGUGCCCGCAGCCUCGGUACUACAGAGGGUGCAAGCGUUAAGCGGAAUUACUGGGCGUAAAGCGCGCGUAGGUGGUUCGUUAAGUUGAAUGUGAAAGCCCCGGGCUCAACCUGGGAACUGCAACCAAAACUGGCGAGCUAGAGUAGGGCAGAGGGUGGUGGAAUUUCCUGUGGAGCGGCGAAAUGCGUAGAUAUAGGAAGGAACACCAGGGGCGAAGGCGACCACCUGGGCGCAUACUGACACUGAGGUGCGAAAGCGUGGGGAGCAAACAGG
Molecule: ribosomal RNA, 429 nt
Filed under: Pseudomonadota bacterium
Lineage: Bacteria; Pseudomonadati; Pseudomonadota
Description: Proteobacteria bacterium partial 16S ribosomal RNA
Rfam family: Bacterial small subunit ribosomal RNA
Source: RNAcentral